UUGAAUAGUUCGUAGUGCUGUGCUGGCCUCUCGGGGCAUGUGCACGCAUUGCAAUUAUUAUCAUCUUUUUUGUGAACCAGUGUAGUCUUCGGUCGAGUUCGUUAGUUGGAUGGCCCUUUGGGUUUUGAAAGCUAGUGGAUGAGGUCGGAGUCUAUGAUUUUAUAAACUUUUGUAUGUCUUUGAAUGUUUAUUACUUGACUGCAAAGUCAGUAAAUCUAUA
RNAcentral lists this unclassified non-coding RNA (220 nucleotides) under uncultured Agaricales. Its description in RNAcentral is "sequence contains ITS1". Lineage: Eukaryota; Fungi; Basidiomycota; Agaricomycetes; Agaricales. The record is from RNAcentral.